GUUCCGGAGGACGGACGAUCCGUGCCCUAAACCUAAAAACAGUUACAGGUGCAGUAUGCGGUAAGCGGGUUGCUCGUCAUCCAAUGACUCUUGCGCGUAAGAAGGCUCACAAACGUCUUACUGUAUGCCCGAGAUUUGGGUUGUUUGCUUUGGCUGCACUAGGCCUUUUUGGAUUGCUGAUAGCUGGGCUCUUUGGUGGCUGCUUUGGGCUUGUUGCUGCAUUUAGGGAUCGCUGCUGUUGUCAGUUAUAAAGGGGCGCUUCCAGAUUCUUCAUUAUAACCCCUUUUUCCUUAAAACAUUAUUGUCCUCUCUCAUAUGUCCGAUUCGUGAGUAAGGUUUCAUCUUUCUGUAAAAGAUCUUCAUGUGAUGAUCUUGUUCGUCUAAGUAUAUCAGUCAAUCUUUUGAUGAUUGAUUAGUUUCUGUAACUGUUCUCGUUGUUAACCUUUCGGAAUAAAGUCGUUUUUUU
This 466-nucleotide long non-coding RNA is filed under the name Helianthus annuus (common sunflower). RNAcentral describes it as "sRNA HanXRQr2_Chr09g0384991". The record is from RNAcentral. Lineage: Eukaryota; Viridiplantae; Streptophyta; Magnoliopsida; Asterales; Asteraceae.